This 122-nucleotide non-coding RNA is filed under the name uncultured Mediterraneibacter sp. RNAcentral's name for it is "yjdF RNA". It matches the Rfam family "azaaromatic riboswitch aptamer (yjdF RNA)". Lineage: Bacteria; Bacillati; Bacillota; Clostridia; Lachnospirales; Lachnospiraceae. The record is from RNAcentral.
AACAAAGAUAAAAACGCAACGCAUGUCCCUGAGGAUGUGCCAGAGCCGGUAGGUAGCCCGGCCGUCUCAUUUCAGAUGAGGUAAGUAACCUGCCCUCCGGGUUGUCCAUUCUUUGUUCAUAA